ACUGGAAACCGGAGCUAAUACCGGAUAAUAUUUUGAACCGCAUGGUUCAAAAGUGAAAGACGGUCUUGCUGUCACUUAUAGAUGGAUCCGCGCUGCAUUAGCUAGUUGGUAAGGUAACGGCUUACCAAGGCAACGAUGCAUAGCCACCUGAGAGGGUGAUCGGCCACACUGGAACUGAGACACGGUCCAG
This 190-nucleotide ribosomal RNA is filed under the name uncultured Staphylococcus sp. RNAcentral's name for it is "partial 16S ribosomal RNA". It matches the Rfam family "Bacterial small subunit ribosomal RNA", at positions 149 to 334 of the family's 1533-position model. Lineage: Bacteria; Bacillati; Bacillota; Bacilli; Caryophanales; Staphylococcaceae. The record is from RNAcentral.